This 491-nucleotide ribosomal RNA is filed under the name uncultured bacterium. RNAcentral's name for it is "partial 16S ribosomal RNA". It matches the Rfam family "Bacterial small subunit ribosomal RNA", at positions 29 to 507 of the family's 1533-position model. The record is from RNAcentral.
GUGAACGCUGGCGGUAGGCCUAACACAUGCAAGUCGAACGGCAGCACAGUAAGAGCUUGCUCUUACGGGUGGCGAGUGGCGGACGGGUGAGGAAUACAUCGGAAUCUACUUUUUCGUGGGGGAUAACGUAGGGAAACUUACGCUAAUACCGCAUACGACCUACGGGUGAAAGCAGGGGAUCUUCGGACCUUGCGCGAUUGAAUGAGCCGAUGUCGGAUUAGCUAGUUGGCGGGGUAAAGGCCCACCAAGGCGACGAUCCGUAGCUAGUCUGAGAGGAUGAUCAGCCACACUGGAACUGAGACACGGUCCAGACUCCUACGGGAGGCAGCAGUGGGGAAUAUUGGACAAUGGGCGCAAGCCUGAUCCAGCCAUACCGCGUGGGUGAAGAAGGCCUUCGGGUUGUAAAGCCCUUUUGUUGGGAAAGAAAAGCAGCAGGUUAAUACCCCGCUGUUCUGACGGUACCCAAAGAAUAAGCACCGGCUAACUUCGUG